RNAcentral lists this unclassified non-coding RNA (398 nucleotides) under Hevea brasiliensis (rubber tree). The record is from RNAcentral. Lineage: Eukaryota; Viridiplantae; Streptophyta; Magnoliopsida; Malpighiales; Euphorbiaceae.
GCCAUUUUCCCCAUAAUUUCACUUUACCCCAUAGCCUCUCAAAAUCUCUCUCUCUGUCUGUCUCUCUCUCUCUCCCCCUGCGCUCCUAUACAUAUCAAUUUAUGUGUAAUUAAUUUCCUUUUAACUUUAUUUUUUUAGGGAUUCAGUCUAUAAUGCAGUGUAAAAUUAACUUACAUGUAUAUAGACAUAGAGAUGCAGAAAAGCAAAUCCCUAACCUGCAAUGAAAGUGAAGCUUCAGCCUUUCCAGCUUUCUCCGAGUUUGCUGCUACUCUACUACCUGUGAGGUGGUAGAGAAGGAAGAAGAGAGGCACACAAAAGCAAGGACAGAUAGAGGGGGAGGAAAAAAAAAAGGACUGCUAUCUCGGCAGUCCAGGUGGCACAAUGGGAGUGGACAAAGU